Molecule: long non-coding RNA, 4824 nt
Filed under: Sus scrofa (pig)
Lineage: Eukaryota; Metazoa; Chordata; Mammalia; Artiodactyla; Suidae
Description: lncRNA (ENSSSCG00000052384.1)
Source: RNAcentral
AGGUUCCCAGGCUAGGGGUCAAAUUGGAGCCGUAGCCAGAGCCACAGCAGCUUGGGAUUUGAGACCUACACCACAGCUCUUGGCAACACCGGAUCCUUAACUCACUGAGCAAGGCCAGGGAUUGAACCUGCAACAUCAUUCCUAGUCGGAUUCGUUAACCCCUGAGCCAUAACAGGAACUCCUCUUAGCAAAUUUUAUACAUUACAAGGUCUUGAUUUUCCCAUGUAAGCAUCCCAGACCUCCCCCCUUCCCCGAGCAGACAGUAUUCCUCCCUAAGAAACUGAGCAAGCAAGGUUACAGAAGCAGAACUGAUAAGCAAUGCUGGGAACACAAUUAGCAGGGCUGCUGGCUUGGGCAUAGGGUGCAUAGUUGCUACAUUAUUAAAAGAGAAGUGGUAGGAGGUGAGCAUAGCUGAAAAGACUUGCAGCUGCCUUUUUAGCCAAGGGGUGGUGUGUGUGGGGGUUAUUCCUUAGUUAAAACUUUUAUUUCAGAUCUAGUAGGUCACAGCCCCUAAGAGACUACCCCCAUCUUCCAGAAGUGAGUUUCCAUUGUCCCUUGAACAUAAAACCUUUGGCAGAACACUGCUUGGAUUCAUAACAAUUUUGCAGAUACAUUUAGGAAUUUCAUAAUUCCAAUACAAGUUAAGAGCAGGUAUCUUGUCCCUCAUUAGAAAAUAUUUGUUAAUUAUAAGAGAUAUUUAGAUCUUAGCACCUUCUAGGUUUUUUUAACUUUAGGAAAAAAAUCUGUUCUCCGAGGCAGUACUACUAUGAAUUCCACUUUCCUUUGCAGAGAUGGGGUUCUUGGGAGUAGUGAUCUGCCAGUUAUAAUCUGAGUAAGGCAUAGGACAUUUAUUGGAAUUCUUUCAAGUUUCUUCUUAUUUUAAAACUGUGAAUCAGUGGCUCUUAACCAGAGUUGUCUUUGUCCUGAGUGAUACUUUGUCAUGUUGAAAGCAUAUCGCUAAAAACCUAUGCACAAGGCGGGAUCCAACACAACGAUCCUGCCUCCAAAUAUCAACAGUGAGAAAAUGAGUAGACCUCUUCUGGACCAGCACCUUCCCCACUCCACUGUGCAUACCAGUCACCCAGAUGCUGGUUCCAAUGCAACAUCUAAUUCAGGACAUCCUGCCUGGUGAGCCAAAAGGCUCCUGGGUGGUGAUGUUGGUGAAGGUACUGAAUUGGGGAAAACAUUUUGAGUGAGCUAGGUGUAGUCAUUUUAUAGAUUACUGUGUCCAUAGUUUUACAUUUUUUUUCUACCAAAAACCAUCUUCAUAUGAAGCUUUGAACAAAAACUGUGUGCAUUUAUUCCAGAGCCUCUGAUACAUUUUGUCCAGCUCAAAGGCCAUUGAAUCACCUCAAAUCAUCUACUUUUUAAAAAGCCUUUGUAAUGGCAGAAUGAGAGAAUGAGAGCCCCCACCAAAGAUGUCCAUAUCUUAAUUUCUAUAACUUUUGAAUGUAUAGUCUAUGUCUAAGGGACAUUAAGGGACAUUUUAUACAGCAUAUGGAAUAAAGUUUAUAGUAAUCUAAUUUUAAGAUUAGCUAUGAUUACCAAGGUGUGACUAACUUAGUCACAAUAAUCCUCUAAAUGUGGAUGAGAGGUGAAUUAGAGUUGGAGUCCCAGAGAGAUUUGAAAAUGUAAACUGCUAACUUGAUGAUGUGGCUCUUAGCCAAGCAAUGCAGAUGACCCCUAGAAACUGGAAAAGGAAAGACAGAAAAAAAGAUUCUGUCCAUCCUCCAGGAGGAACUCAGCCAUGCUGAUCUCAUUACUUUAGUUCAAUAAAAACAAUUUCAGGCUUCUGACAUCCAGAAAAGUAAGAGCAUAAAUUUGUUUUAUUUUUAAAAAUUUUCUUGGAGUAUAGUUGACUUACAAUGUUGUCUUAGUUUUAAUUGUACAACAAAGUGAAUCAGUUUUUUUAAUCGUUCAGACUCUUUUCCCAUACAGGCUACCACAAAUAUUGAGUAUAUUUCCCUGUGAUAUACAGUAGGUCCUUGUUACUCAUCAAUUUUGUAUAUAGUCGUGUGUAUAUGCCAAUCCCAAACUCCCAAGGUAUCCUUUUCCCCAACAUUUAAAAUAGAUAUUAUUGUAAUUUAGUUCAGUAGCAGUAAAAAAUCCCAUAAUGAUAUACAUACAAUAAAAUUUAGUUUGAGGAAAAUGAAUUUCAACUUAAUUCAGUCAUUUAGCUUUCCUUAGUUAUUAUAGCAGUUUUGUGUUGAUAUUUCACCUGAAGUAGAAGUAUAAACUAAAGUCAAUUUAGAGAUAUUUGGUCCAUUUGCUGACACAGAGAACUUUCCAUUAUAUAAAUUGAAAUGUGUUUCUGGUUUUGAAGCCUGUGACAAAUUAAUAUAGUAAAAUUAAUUCCUUAUUAAUAUUAAGUUCAUCUGUUCUACUUUAAACUGUGUUUAAAUUUCUACAGUCCUUCUAUUUCAUGUUAAUUAAAAUUUCAUUCUAUUUUUUAACCCUCUAACUUCCUUUCAGUUUUCCAGGAAACAUAAAAGAUAGCAAUGUAAAUGUGUUUGUAUGUGUCAGCGUAUUUAGUAAAGAAAAUGUAUGCAACACAGGCACACACACACACACACAAACACAUGCACCUUAUUCUUGGACAUUUUAAUCAGACUUGACAAAGUAUUUCCACACAUUUGCUUUAUUUCUCCACACAUCAAUCAGAAAUGCUGCUUAGUAUCCUACAUUAUGUUCAUAAAUAAGUUUACUGAGCCUUAGGGAAAUUAAACUGUUCACCAUUACAUACAAAACAUAAAAGAUUAUUUUGCACUGUAGUGAAUUGUGUACAAAUAGAGUCAGGCAGUAUAUACUCAUAUUUAUGGGGCUCCUUUAUUUCUACAGAUGGUACAUUUUAUUUUAUUUUUUUCCAGGUCCAUUGAGAUGUAAUUGACCUAUAUAGCAUUGUGUAAGUUUAAGGUGUAAAAUGUAAUGAUCUAAUAUAUAUAUCAUAUAUAUAUACACGUAUAUAUAUUCUAAAAUGAUGAUCAAAAUAACUUCUCUUUUGUCUUUUUAGGGCUGCACCUGUGGCACAUGGAAGUUCCCAGGCUAGGGGUCAAAUUGGAGCUGUAGCCAUAAGCCUACACUACAGCCACAGCAACUCAGGAUCCAUGCCGCAUCUGCAACCCACACUAUAGCCCACAGCAAUGCCAGAUCCCAACCCAGUGAGCGAGACUACUGAUCGAACCUCUGUCCUCAUGGAUAUAAAAUGUGGCAUAGGUUGCAGAUGUAGCUCAGAUCCCGUGUUGCUAUGGCUGCGGCAUAGGCUGGCAGCUGCACCUCUAAUUCCACCCCUAGCCCAGGGAACUUCCAUAUACUGCAGGUGCAGCCCUAAAAAAAAAAAAAAAAAAAAAAAAGAAGAAGAAGAAUAUGAUGAGAAAAUCACACAUAAUAGGGGUGGAAGACAUCUCUUUAAAUGAGAAGAAACCAAAGUGUCCGAUAGAGAUAAAGGAACACUGAUGGUAAAAUUAGUAAUUCAUAUUUGAUAAGCUCAUUUUUGCAUGAAAUAAAUUAUCCUAGAUUUAGAAAUGGAGUAAAUUGAUUCUAUAUGAUUGAGACCUCUUUAAUACUGUAUUGCAUAUUUAUUUAUUUAUUUAUUUAUUUUCCAUUUCUUGGGCCACUCUCGUGGCAGGUUCCCAGGCUAGGGGUCUAAUCGGAGCUAUAGCCGCCUGCCUACGCUAGAGCCACAGCAACGCGGGAUCCGAGCCGUGUCUGCAACCUACACCACAACUCAUGGCAACACUGGAUCCUUAACCCACUGAGCAAGGCCAGGGAUCGAACCUACAACCUCAGGGUUCCUAGUCGGAUUCGACAACCACUGCGCCAUGACGGGAACUCCUGUAUUGCAUAUUUAGACAUCGCCAAGAGAGUAGAUCUUAAAAUUCCUCAUCACAAGAAUAAUUGUAACUAUGUAUGGGAAUGGAUGCUACCCAGACUUAGUGUGGUGAUUAUUUUGCAAUACACACAAAUAUCAAAUCAUUAGGUUGUACAUAACAGACUUAUGCAAUGUUAUAUGUCCAUUACACUUCAAUUUAAAAAGAGGGAGAAAACACAAAGGAAGUCAUGUGAGAGAGAGAGAGAAAGAGAAAGAGAGAGAGGUCACCCCAACCACACAAAAUAUCAUAGAUAAGUCUUAGACACCAGUUAUCAGAACUCCAAAUAACUUCUCACCAUACAGUCUCGUUUGAUAAUAAAGAUAUUAUGUUAAAGUGCCUGCCUUUAAGAAGGCGUGUUAUGCAGUGGUGCAGAACUAAUUCAAUAAUCAAAGCUUAAUAAUCUGCUUCUGCUGAUUCUCAGCAUUUGUUCUUAUAUUUGAAGACAGCAUUCAUGGUUAUGCUCUUAUAAAGUUUAUUUCAGACAACUGUAUUAAAAAGUAACUAUGCUAGGGCUCCCUUAUAGAAAAGGAGGAGAGUUUGAAAGGGUAUGCAUGUUUGUAUAAGAUAGAUGGUGACCUUGAGUCAUACGACUGUCCAGGAAUUUAAGCUGCCUCAUUUGUCAUUCUAUGUCCAUAACGACGAAUAGCUUCAUGAGCAUCAAGGAGAUAUAAAAUGUAAGAUAUUGAUAAUUCACUAAAUUCACUAUUCCUUUAAAGGUUAUGUAUACAUUUUAAAACAGGGAGAUACUCCAUUUAGAGCAAUGCAGGGUCAAACUAUAAGGAGUAUUGGAAGUUUUCUAACACAAAUAGAAAGAUAAUUCAAUGAAAAAAAUGCUCAACAUCACUAAUUACUAGAGAAAGCAAAUCAAAACUACAAGGUACUACCUUACACCAGUCAGAAUGACCAUAAUUAAUAAGCCUACAAAUAAUGAAACCUAGAGAGGGUAUGGAGAAAA